GGGUUGUGAGGUUAAGCGACUAAGCGUACACGGUGGAUGCCCUGGCAGUCAGAGGCGAUGAAGGACGUGCUAAUCUGCGAUAAGCGUCGGUGAGGUGAUAUGAACCGUUAUAACCGGCGAUUUCCGAAUGGGGAAACCCAGUGUGUUUCGACACACUAUCAUUAACUGAAUCCAUAGGUUAAUGAGGCGAACCGGGGGAACUGAAACAUCUAAGUACCCCGAGGAAAAGAAAUCAACCGAGAUUCCCCCAGUAGCGGCGAGCGAACGGGGAGGAGCCCAGAGCCUGAAUCAGUGUGUGUGUUAGUGGAAGCGUCUGGAAAGGCGCGCGAUACAGGGUGACAGCCCCGUACACAAAAAUGCACAUAUUGUGAGCUCGAUGAGUAGGGCGGGACACGUGGUAUCCUGUCUGAAUAUGGGGGGACCAUCCUCCAAGGCUAAAUACUCCUGACUGACCGAUAGUGAACCAGUACCGUGAGGGAAAGGCGAAAAGAACCCCGGCGAGGGGAGUGAAAAAGAACCUGAAACCGUGUACGUACAAGCAGUGGGAGCCUCUUAAUGGGGUGACUGCGUACCUUUUGUAUAAUGGGUCAGCGACUUAUAUUCUGUAGCAAGGUUAACCGAAUAGGGGAGCCGAAGGGAAACCGAGUCUUAACUGGGCGUUAAGUUGCAGGGUAUAGACCCGAAACCCGGUGAUCUAGCCAUGGGCAGGUUGAAGGUUGGGUAACACUAACUGGAGGACCGAACCGACUAAUGUUGAAAAAUUAGCGGAUGACUUGUGGCUGGGGGUGAAAGGCCAAUCAAACCGGGAGAUAGCUGGUUCUCCCCGAAAGCUAUUUAGGUAGCGCCUCGUGAAUUCAUCUCCGGGGGUAGAGCACUGUUUCGGCAAGGGGGUCAUCCCGACUUACCAACCCGAUGCAAACUGCGAAUACCGGAGAAUGUUAUCACGGGAGACACACGGCGGGUGCUAACGUCCGUCGUGAAGAGGGAAACAACCCAGACCGCCAGCUAAGGUCCCAAAGUCAUGGUUAAGUGGGAAACGAUGUGGGAAGGCCCAGACAGCCAGGAUGUUGGCUUAGAAGCAGCCAUCAUUUAAAGAAAGCGUAAUAGCUCACUGGUCGAGUCGGCCUGCGCGGAAGAUGUAACGGGGCUAAACCAUGCACCGAAGCUGCGGCAGCGACACUAUGUGUUGUUGGGUAGGGGAGCGUUCUGUAAGCCUGUGAAGGUGGACNNNNNNNNNNNNNNNNNNNNNNNNNNNNNNNNNNNNNNNNNNNNNNNNNNNNNNNNNNNNNNNNNNNNNNNNNNNNNNNNNNNNNNNCUGUGAGGUAUGCUGGAGGUAUCAGAAGUGCGAAUGCUGACAUAAGUAACGAUAAAGCGGGUGAAAAGCCCGCUCGCCGGAAGACCAAGGGUUCCUGUCCAACGUUAAUCGGGGCAGGGUGAGUCGACCCCUAAGGCGAGGCCGAAAGGCGUAGUCGAUGGGAAACAGGUUAAUAUUCCUGUACUUGGUGUUACUGCGAAGGGGGGACGGAGAAGGCUAUGUUGGCCGGGCGACGGUUGUCCCGGUUUAAGCGUGUAGGCUGGUUUUCCAGGCAAAUCCGGAAAAUCAAGGCUGAGGCGUGAUGACGAGGCACUACGGUGCUGAAGCGACAAAUGCCCUGCUUCCAGGAAAAGCCUCUAAGCAUCAGGUAACAUCAAAUCGUACCCCAAACCGACACAGGUGGUCAGGUAGAGAAUACCAAGGCGCUUGAGAGAACUCGGGUGAAGGAACUAGGCAAAAUGGUGCCGUAACUUCGGGAGAAGGCACGCUGAUAUGUAGGUGAAGCGACUUGCUCGUGGAGCUGAAAUCAGUCGAAGAUACCAGCUGGCUGCAACUGUUUAUUAAAAACACAGCACUGUGCAAACACGAAAGUGGACGUAUACGGUGUGACGCCUGCCCGGUGCCGGAAGGUUAAUUGAUGGGGUUAGCGGUAACGCGAAGCUCUUGAUCGAAGCCCCGGUAAACGGCGGCCGUAACUAUAACGGUCCUAAGGUAGCGAAAUUCCUUGUCGGGUAAGUUCCGACCUGCACGAAUGGCGUAAUGAUGGCCAGGCUGUCUCCACCCGAGACUCAGUGAAAUUGAACUCGCUGUGAAGAUGCAGUGUACCCGCGGCAAGACGGAAAGACCCCGUGAACCUUUACUAUAGCUUGACACUGAACAUUGAGCCUUGAUGUGUAGGAUAGGUGGGAGGCUUUGAAGUGUGGACGCCAGUCUGCAUGGAGCCGACCUUGAAAUACCACCCUUUAAUGUUUGAUGUUCUAACGUGGGCCCCUUACCGGGGUUGCGGACAGUGUCUGGUGGGUAGUUUGACUGGGGCGGUCUCCUCCUAAAGAGUAACGGAGGAGCACGAAGGUUGGCUAAUCCUGGUCGGACAUCAGGAGGUUAGUGCAAUGGCAUAAGCCAGCUUGACUGCGAGCGUGACGGCGCGAGCAGGUGCGAAAGCAGGUCAUAGUGAUCCGGUGGUUCUGAAUGGAAGGGCCAUCGCUCAACGGAUAAAAGGUACUCCGGGGAUAACAGGCUGAUACCGCCCAAGAGUUCAUAUCGACGGCGGUGUUUGGCACCUCGAUGUCGGCUCAUCACAUCCUGGGGCUGAAGUAGGUCCCAAGGGUAUGGCUGUUCGCCAUUUAAAGUGGUACGCGAGCUGGGUUUAGAACGUCGUGAGACAGUUCGGUCCCUAUCUGCCGUGGGCGCUGGAGAACUGAGGGGGGCUGCUCCUAGUACGAGAGGACCGGAGUGGACGCAUCACUGGUGUUCGGGUUGUCAUGCCAAUGGCACUGCCCGGUAGCUAAAUGCGGAAGAGAUAAGUGCUGAAAGCAUCUAAGCACGAAACUUGCCCCGAGAUGAGUUCUCCCUGACUCCUUGAGAGUCCUGAAGGAACGUUGAAGACGACGACGUUGAUAGGCCGGGUGUGUAAGCGCAGCGAUGCGUUGAGCUAACCGGUACUAAUGAACCGUGAGGCUUAACCUUACAACGCCGAAG
This 3013-nucleotide ribosomal RNA is filed under the name Escherichia coli. RNAcentral's name for it is "23S ribosomal RNA". It matches the Rfam family "Bacterial large subunit ribosomal RNA". The record is from RNAcentral. Lineage: Bacteria; Pseudomonadati; Pseudomonadota; Gammaproteobacteria; Enterobacterales; Enterobacteriaceae.